RNAcentral lists this transfer RNA (76 nucleotides) under bacterium. RNAcentral describes it as "tRNA-Thr". It matches the Rfam family "tRNA". From Rfam's summary of the family: Transfer RNA (tRNA) molecules are approximately 80 nucleotides in length. The record is from RNAcentral.
GCCGAAAUAGCUCAGCUGGUAGAGCAAUGCUUUCGUAAAGCAGAGGUCGGGAGUUCGAAUCUCCCUUUCGGCUCCA